GGGUUGUGAGGUUAAGCGACUAAGCGUACACGGUGGAUGCCCUGGCAGUCAGAGGCGAUGAAGGACGUGCUAAUCUGCGAUAAGCGUCGGUAAGGUGAUAUGAACCGUUAUAACCGGCGAUUUCCGAAUGGGGAAACCCAGUGUGAUUCGUCACACUAUCAUUAACUGAAUCCAUAGGUUAAUGAGGCGAACCGGGGGAACUGAAACAUCUAAGUACCCCGAGGAAAAGAAAUCAACCGAGAUUCCCCCAGUAGCGGCGAGCGAACGGGGAGCAGCCCAGAGCCUGAAUCAGUGUGUGUGUUAGUGGAAGCGUCUGGAAAGGCGCGCGAUACAGGGUGACAGUCCCGUACACAAAAAUGCACAUACUGUGAGCUCGAUGAGUAGGGCGGGACACGUGGUAUCCUGUCUGAAUAUGGGGGGACCAUCCUCCAAGGCUAAAUACUCCUGACUGACCGAUAGUGAACCAGUACCGUGAGGGAAAGGCGAAAAGAACCCCGGCGAGGGGAGUGAAAAAGAACCUGAAACCGUGUACGUACAAGCAGUGGGAGCACAGAGCAAUCUGUGUGACUGCGUACCUUUUGUAUAAUGGGUCAGCGACUUAUAUUCUGUAGCAAGGUUAACCGAAUAGGGGAGCCGAAGGGAAACCGAGUCUUAACUGGGCGUUAAGUUGCAGGGUAUAGACCCGAAACCCGGUGAUCUAGCCAUGGGCAGGUUGAAGGUUGGGUAACACUAACUGGAGGACCGAACCGACUAAUGUUGAAAAAUUAGCGGAUGACUUGUGGCUGGGGGUGAAAGGCCAAUCAAACCGGGAGAUAGCUGGUUCUCCCCGAAAGCUAUUUAGGUAGCGCCUCGUGAAUUCAUCUCCGGGGGUAGAGCACUGUUUCGGCAAGGGGGUCAUCCCGACUUACCAACCCGAUGCAAACUGCGAAUACCGGAGAAUGUUAUCACGGGAGACACACGGCGGGUGCUAACGUCCGUCGUGAAGAGGGAAACAACCCAGACCGCCAGCUAAGGUCCCAAAGUCAUGGUUAAGUGGGAAACGAUGUGGGAAGGCCCAGACAGCCAGGAUGUUGGCUUAGAAGCAGCCAUCAUUUAAAGAAAGCGUAAUAGCUCACUGGUCGAGUCGGCCUGCGCGGAAGAUGUAACGGGGCUAAACCAUGCACCGAAGCUGCGGCAGCGACGCUGAUGCGUUGUUGGGUAGGGGAGCGUUCUGUAAGCCUGCGAAGGUGUGCUGUGAGGCAUGCUGGAGGUAUCAGAAGUGCGAAUGCUGACAUAAGUAACGAUAAAGCGGGUGAAAAGCCCGCUCGCCGGAAGACCAAGGGUUCCUGUCCAACGUUAAUCGGGGCAGGGUGAGUCGACCCCUAAGGCGAGGCCGAAAGGCGUAGUCGAUGGGAAACAGGUUAAUAUUCCUGUACUUGGUGUUACUGCGAAGGGGGGACGGAGAAGGCUAUGUUGGCCGGGCGACGGUUGUCCCGGUUUAAGCGUGUAGGCUGGUUUUCCAGGCAAAUCCGGAAAAUCAAGGCUGAGGCGUGAUGACGAGGCACUACGGUGCUGAAGCAACAAAUGCCCUGCUUCCAGGAAAAGCCUCUAAGCAUCAGGUAACAUCAAAUCGUACCCCAAACCGACACAGGUGGUCAGGUAGAGAAUACCAAGGCGCUUGAGAGAACUCGGGUGAAGGAACUAGGCAAAAUGGUGCCGUAACUUCGGGAGAAGGCACGCUGAUACGUAGGUGAAGUCCCUCGCGGAUGGAGCUGAAAUCAGUCGAAGAUACCAGCUGGCUGCAACUGUUUAUUAAAAACACAGCACUGUGCAAACACGAAAGUGGACGUAUACGGUGUGACGCCUGCCCGGUGCCGGAAGGUUAAUUGAUGGGGUUAGCGCAAGCGAAGCUCUUGAUCGAAGCCCCGGUAAACGGCGGCCGUAACUAUAACGGUCCUAAGGUAGCGAAAUUCCUUGUCGGGUAAGUUCCGACCUGCACGAAUGGCGUAAUGAUGGCCAGGCUGUCUCCACCCGAGACUCAGUGAAAUUGAACUCGCUGUGAAGAUGCAGUGUACCCGCGGCAAGACGGAAAGACCCCGUGAACCUUUACUAUAGCUUGACACUGAACAUUGAGCCUUGAUGUGUAGGAUAGGUGGGAGGCUUUGAAGUGUGGACGCCAGUCUGCAUGGAGCCGACCUUGAAAUACCACCCUUUAAUGUUUGAUGUUCUAACGUUGACCCGUAAUCCGGGUUGCGGACAGUGUCUGGUGGGUAGUUUGACUGGGGCGGUCUCCUCCUAAAGAGUAACGGAGGAGCACGAAGGUUGGCUAAUCCUGGUCGGACAUCAGGAGGUUAGUGCAAUGGCAUAAGCCAGCUUGACUGCGAGCGUGACGGCGCGAGCAGGUGCGAAAGCAGGUCAUAGUGAUCCGGUGGUUCUGAAUGGAAGGGCCAUCGCUCAACGGAUAAAAGGUACUCCGGGGAUAACAGGCUGAUACCGCCCAAGAGUUCAUAUCGACGGCGGUGUUUGGCACCUCGAUGUCGGCUCAUCACAUCCUGGGGCUGAAGUAGGUCCCAAGGGUAUGGCUGUUCGCCAUUUAAAGUGGUACGCGAGCUGGGUUUAGAACGUCGUGAGACAGUUCGGUCCCUAUCUGCCGUGGGCGCUGGAGAAUUGAGGGGGGCUGCUCCUAGUACGAGAGGACCGGAGUGGACGCAUCACUGGUGUUCGGGUUGUCAUGCCAAUGGCACUGCCCGGUAGCUAAAUGCGGAAGAGAUAAGUGCUGAAAGCAUCUAAGCACGAAACUUGCCCCGAGAUGAGUUCUCCCUGACUCCUUGAGAGUCCUGAAGGAACGUUGAAGACGACGACGUUGAUAGGCCGGGUGUGUAAGCGCAGCGAUGCGUUGAGCUAACCGGUACUAAUGAACCGUGAGGCUUAACCUUACAACGCCGAAG
RNAcentral lists this ribosomal RNA (2927 nucleotides) under Escherichia coli. RNAcentral's name for it is "bacterial LSU rRNA". It matches the Rfam family "Bacterial large subunit ribosomal RNA". The record is from RNAcentral. Lineage: Bacteria; Pseudomonadati; Pseudomonadota; Gammaproteobacteria; Enterobacterales; Enterobacteriaceae.